Volvox carteri f. nagariensis is the source of this 93-nucleotide small nucleolar RNA. It matches the Rfam family "Small nucleolar RNA U31b". The record is from Rfam. Lineage: Eukaryota; Viridiplantae; Chlorophyta; Chlorophyceae; Chlamydomonadales; Volvocaceae.
GAGAGUGAUGAAUGCUAUUGUCGCCCCAGUCCUAUGGGUCCCUCAGCCAGGGAUAUCCAUGCGGAUGGACAGACGUUAUGGCGUCUCUGACUC